Molecule: ribosomal RNA, 553 nt
Filed under: uncultured bacterium
Lineage: Bacteria
Description: partial 16S ribosomal RNA
Rfam family: Bacterial small subunit ribosomal RNA
Source: RNAcentral
UGGGGAAUAUUGCACAAUGGGCGCAAGCCUGAUGCAGCCAUGCCGCGUGUGUGAAGAAGGCCUUCGGGUUGUAAAGCACUUUCAGCGAGGAGGAAGGGUAGUGUGUUAAUAGCACAUUGCAUUGACGUUACUCGCAGAAGAAGCACCGGCUAACUCCGUGCCAGCAGCCGCGGUAAUACGGAGGGUGCAAGCGUUAAUCGGAAUUACUGGGCGUAAAGCGCACGCAGGCGGUUUGUUAAGUCAGAUGUGAAAUCCCCGCGCUUAACGUGGGAACUGCAUUUGAAACUGGCAAGCUAGAGUCUUGUAGAGGGGGGUGAGAAUUCCAGGUGUAGCGGUGAAAUGCGUAGAGAUCUGGAGGAAUACCGGUGGCGAAGGCGGCCCCCUGGACAAAGACUGACGCUCAGGUGCGAAAGCGUGGGGAGCAAAACAGGAUUAGAUACCCUGGUAGUCCACGCUGUAAACGAUGUCGACUUGGAGGUUGUGCCCUUGAGGCGUGGCUUCCGGAGCUAACGCGUUAAGUCGACCGCCUGGGGGAGUACGGCCGCAAGGUUAA